GACGGACGCUGGCGGCGUGCUUAACACAUGCAAGUCGAACGGAAAGGCCCUGCUUUUGUGGGGUGCUCGAGUGGCGAACGGGUGAGUAACACGUGAGUAACCUGCCCUUGACUUUGGGAUAACUUCAGGAAACUGGGGCUAAUACCGGAUAGGAGCUCCUGCUGCAUGGUGGGGGUUGGAAAGUUUCGGCGGUUGGGGAUGGACUCGCGGCUUAUCAGCUUGUUGGUGGGGUAGUGGCUUACCAAGCCUUUGACGGGUAGCCGGCCUGAGAGGGUGACCGGCCACAUUGGGACUGAGAUACGGCCCAGACUCCUACGGGAGGCAGCAGUGGGGAAUAUUGCACAAUGGGCGGAAGCCUGAUGCAGCAACGCCGCGUGCGGGAUGACGGCCUUCGGGUUGUAAACCGCUUUCGCCUGUGACGAAGCGUGAGUGACGGUAAUGGGUAAAGAAGCACCGGCUAACUACGUG
RNAcentral lists this ribosomal RNA (468 nucleotides) under uncultured bacterium. Its description in RNAcentral is "partial 16S ribosomal RNA". It matches the Rfam family "Bacterial small subunit ribosomal RNA", at positions 28 to 507 of the family's 1533-position model. The record is from RNAcentral.